GUUAACUUUCAUGUUGGAAAUAUUUUGUGGGUUCUUGAGAAAUUGUGCAUGAUUAUUUUUAUUUGCUUCAUUUGGGAUCCAUAUUUAAUUUGCUGAAUAAUCACACCAAGGAAUAAAACUUGUGUGGUUAAAUGGAGCACUGCAUUUAGAGAAGCAUUGUUGCUUUCUCUUUGCUUCUCCAUGAGAUGAUAUUAACCUGCCUUUGAGUUCUUAAAGGCAAAGAAGUAGCAGUCAUUUCAUGCCUGCUGUGGAACGUUUAACAGACAUACAUAAAAAUCUGCCAGUUGUACAUUGGCUGUUUUUCAGGCCCAUGUGAUUUCAAACUCCUGGAGCCUUCUAAAACGAUCCGGCUUGGCCCGAGGUUCUGGGCAUUAUACCCUUCUAAUCUGAGUCUAUCU
Molecule: long non-coding RNA, 398 nt
Filed under: Bos taurus (domestic cattle)
Lineage: Eukaryota; Metazoa; Chordata; Mammalia; Artiodactyla; Bovidae
Description: long non-coding RNA NONBTAT023864
Source: RNAcentral